UUUAUUCAGCUUCUAAUUCAAUUUCCACAAUUUAUGGUGAUUUUCCAAAAUCACGCUACUGUUGCUGUCCCAAGCAGAUUUAUUACAAUUUGCACUUUCACACAUUCCUUGCAUUCAAAUUAUCUAAACAUGUAUAUCAUGUCAUUCAAGAUCGAACUCAUAUAACAUAGGCAUUAAAAUGCUUCACUAACAGCUUUAGUUCAAUUGAAACGAAUAAAAUACAAUAUCAUAUUCACAUUUAAUUUUCCAUGAUCGUAAUCACCUAAAAAUAAAUCAUAUACUUCCACAAACCUUUCCACAAGGACCAAGUGUUUAUAUUUGAAUAUAAACAUAAAAUCACUUCACAUAACUUCACACAUUUACCGAAUAUAUCACGAUCACAUAUAUAGUCAUAACACUUAUUCACAGAUGCAUCACUUUAUAUAUUUAUAAUUUAAUUCAAAUCAAAUCACAUACGAGUACAUGAUACGUACCUGGCCAACUUAAUAUGUAAUGCACUUUCAAUUUGUCAACUUAGUGUAGGAUCUUGUAAUUGUAUACUUUUAUCAAAUUCAUCGGCACUUGGCCUGCUAGGUAUAAAACCCGAAAUUAUAUUACCAGCACAAAGCCUGCGGGACUUUAGCUCGGAUACAUUUCCAGCACGAAGC
This 647-nucleotide long non-coding RNA is filed under the name Gossypium barbadense (sea-island cotton). RNAcentral's name for it is "long non-coding RNA (GBAR_LNC012068)". Lineage: Eukaryota; Viridiplantae; Streptophyta; Magnoliopsida; Malvales; Malvaceae. The record is from RNAcentral.